RNAcentral lists this ribosomal RNA (2549 nucleotides) under Klebsiella michiganensis. RNAcentral's name for it is "partial 23S ribosomal RNA". It matches the Rfam family "Bacterial large subunit ribosomal RNA", at positions 398 to 2925 of the family's 2925-position model. The record is from RNAcentral. Lineage: Bacteria; Pseudomonadati; Pseudomonadota; Gammaproteobacteria; Enterobacterales; Enterobacteriaceae.
UGUGAACUCGAAGAGUAGGGCGGGACACGUGGUAUCCUGUCUGAAUAUGGGGGGACCAUCCUCCAAGGCUAAAUACUCCUGACUGACCGAUAGUGAACCAGUACCGUGAGGGAAAGGCGAAAAGAACCCCGGCGAGGGGAGUGAAAAAGAACCUGAAACCGUGUACGUACAAGCAGUAGGAGCCCACUUGUUGGGUGACUGCGUACCUUUUGUAUAAUGGGUCAGCGACUUAUAUUCUGUAGCAAGGUUAACCGUAUAGGGGAGCCGCAGGGAAACCGAGUCUUAACUGGGCGUUAAGUUGCAGGGUAUAGACCCGAAACCCGGUGAUCUAGCCAUGGGCAGGUUGAAGGUUGGGUAACACUAACUGGAGGACCGAACCGACUAAUGUUGAAAAAUUAGCGGAUGACUUGUGGCUGGGGGUGAAAGGCCAAUCAAACCGGGAGAUAGCUGGUUCUCCCCGAAAGCUAUUUAGGUAGCGCCUCGUGAACUCAUCUUCGGGGGUAGAGCACUGUUUCGGCUAGGGGGUCAUCCCGACUUACCAACCCGAUGCAAACUACGAAUACCGAAGAAUGUUAUCACGGGAGACACACGGCGGGUGCUAACGUCCGUCGUGAAGAGGGAAACAACCCAGACCGCCAGCUAAGGUCCCAAAGUCAUGGUUAAGUGGGAAACGAUGUGGGAAGGCCCAGACAGCCAGGAUGUUGGCUUAGAAGCAGCCAUCAUUUAAAGAAAGCGUAAUAGCUCACUGGUCGAGUCGGCCUGCGCGGAAGAUGUAACGGGGCUAAACCAUGCACCGAAGCUGCGGCAGCGACACUAUGUGUUGUUGGGUAGGGGAGCGUUCUGUAAGCCGUUGAAGGUGGCCUGUGAGGGUUGCUGGAGGUAUCAGAAGUGCGAAUGCUGACAUAAGUAACGAUAAUGCGGGUGAAAAACCCGCACGCCGGAAGACCAAGGGUUCCUGUCCAACGUUAAUCGGGGCAGGGUGAGUCGACCCCUAAGGCGAGGCCGAAAGGCGUAGUCGAUGGGAAACAGGUUAAUAUUCCUGUACUCGGUGUUACUGCGAAGGGGGGACGGAGAAGGCUAUGUUGGCCGGGCGACGGUUGUCCCGGUUUAAGCAUGUAGGCGGAUGUUCCAGGUAAAUCCGGAACGUUAUUAACGCUGAGGUGUGAUGACGAGGCACUACGGUGCUGAAGUGACAAAUGCCCUGCUUCCAGGAAAAGCCUCUAAGCAUCAGGUAACAUCAAAUCGUACCCCAAACCGACACAGGUGGUCAGGUAGAGAAUACCAAGGCGCUUGAGAGAACUCGGGUGAAGGAACUAGGCAAAAUGGUGCCGUAACUUCGGGAGAAGGCACGCUGAUGGUAAGUGAAGUGACUUGCUCAUGGAGCUGAAAUCAGUCGAAGAUACCAGCUGGCUGCAACUGUUUAUUAAAAACACAGCACUGUGCAAACACGAAAGUGGACGUAUACGGUGUGACGCCUGCCCGGUGCCGGAAGGUUAAUUGAUGGGGUUAUCCGUAAGGAGAAGCUCUUGAUCGAAGCCCCGGUAAACGGCGGCCGUAACUAUAACGGUCCUAAGGUAGCGAAAUUCCUUGUCGGGUAAGUUCCGACCUGCACGAAUGGCGUAAUGAUGGCCAGGCUGUCUCCACCCGAGACUCAGUGAAAUUGAACUCGCUGUGAAGAUGCAGUGUACCCGCGGCAAGACGGAAAGACCCCGUGAACCUUUACUAUAGCUUGACACUGAACACUGGUCCUUGAUGUGUAGGAUAGGUGGGAGGCUUUGAAGUGUGGACGCCAGUCUGCAUGGAGCCAUCCUUGAAAUACCACCCUUUAAUGGCUGGUGUUCUAACGUGGGCCCCUAAUCGGGGUUGCGGACAGUGUCUGGUGGGUAGUUUGACUGGGGCGGUCUCCUCCUAAAGAGUAACGGAGGAGCACGAAGGUCAGCUAAUCCUGGUCGGACAUCAGGAGGUUAGUGCAAUGGCAUAAGCUGGCUUGACUGCGAGCGUGACGGCGCGAGCAGGUGCGAAAGCAGGUCAUAGUGAUCCGGUGGUUCUGAAUGGAAGGGCCAUCGCUCAACGGAUAAAAGGUACUCCGGGGAUAACAGGCUGAUACCGCCCAAGAGUUCAUAUCGACGGCGGUGUUUGGCACCUCGAUGUCGGCUCAUCACAUCCUGGGGCUGAAGUAGGUCCCAAGGGUAUGGCUGUUCGCCAUUUAAAGUGGUACGCGAGCUGGGUUUAGAACGUCGUGAGACAGUUCGGUCCCUAUCUGCCGUGGGCGCUGGAGAAUUGAGGGGGGCUGCUCCUAGUACGAGAGGACCGGAGUGGACGCAUCACUGGUGUUCGGGUUGUCAUGCCAAUGGCAUUGCCCGGUAGCUAAAUGCGGAAGAGAUAAGUGCUGAAAGCAUCUAAGCACGAAACUUGCCCCGAGAUGAGUUCUCCCUGACUCCUUGAGAGUCCUGAAGGAACGUUGAAGACGACGACGUUGAUAGGCCGGGUGUGUAAGCGCAGCGAUGCGUUGAGCUAACCGGUACUAAUGAACCGUGAGGCUUAACCUU